RNAcentral lists this microRNA precursor (104 nucleotides) under Podarcis lilfordi (Lilford's wall lizard). Lineage: Eukaryota; Metazoa; Chordata; Lepidosauria; Squamata; Lacertidae. The record is from RNAcentral.
CUACACACACACACACACACACACACACACACACACACACAGCAAUUAUAUAAAUCAGCUAACGUUGGACGCGUGUGUGUGUGUGUGUGUGUGUGUGUGUGUAG